Molecule: non-coding RNA, 135 nt
Organism: Triticum urartu
Lineage: Eukaryota; Viridiplantae; Streptophyta; Magnoliopsida; Poales; Poaceae
Source: Rfam
UUUCUACUCCCUCCGUCUGAAACUACUUGUCAUCAAAAUGGAUAAAAAGAGAUGUAUCUAAAACUAAAAUACGUCUAGAUACACUUCCUUUUAUCCAUUUUGAUGACAAGUAUUUCCGGACGGAGGGAGUAUUUG